GUCGCCAAAACAAGAAAUUAGAUAAAAAAAAAAAAGCACUCAAAUAUAAACGAGACAGAUUGGAUCUGCUCUCCUAGGGUUGACCACUCAAUGAACAAAUGAUCCCCACCUCAUGCACCUCCUUGGGCAAGAACCCACCUCUCCCCAGCCCUGGGUACAAUCUUCAUGCACAGAUUCUUCCAGAAACACUUCAAAAGUCCCCACAGACUGACCAGUCUUACUCUGAGUUCUGUCACAAUGAGGACUAGCUGGAGUGUGCACUAGAGGCCACAUAGCUCAGAACAGUUAGGCAAAGAGCUGUGGCUGAGCAUACAGAGGACUCCAAAGGUAGAAUGAGAGAGUAAGGUCGGAACCUCCACCGAGUUUAUGUGAUGGGCUUUUGUCUUUAACUUUAGUGUUAAAUUCAAGUACAGUAUGAGCAAGAGCUGCAUUUCCUUGGCCGUGGAGAACUUGUCCAUGGACAUUGAUCCACCUCAUAGCCCUCUGCUGCACAAGUGUGUUUACCCCUCGGGCAGCCCCCAAAUCCCCUCACAGCAGCGCAGAAGAUCCAUCGGUUCAUUUUGUAACCAUGAGUCUAUCCAUUUCUGAAUGACUGUGACCAUUCAGUAAUGAAAUAAUAGAAAUUGAUUUAUUAGUAUAGUAUAAUCUUUAAUAAAUUUCGUGCCAAAAUGCAUGGUUUUCCACUUAGCAUUCAAAAUGUUGCGUAGAAAGUAGUUUUCGAUUUCUUAUGUAUUCUUCUAAGUGGGUUGAAAUCAGUUUCUACAUUUUUGUUCGUUUCUUGUUAAAUCUGUUGCAUUCUCCCAGGCUGUCUUUUUUUCCAGCAGACCCCUGCAUGCAGCUGUGUAAGGACUUUCUCUAAUACUUGUGAAUUGUCUCAUCUGCAAUAACCACUGAACAUCAGCCCUCCAUGGGAUUCUUUAGAUUUUUGGUGAAGUAUUUUGUUACCUCAGUCUUGUAUCAAGUUGCUGUAUUUUUCAGCUUGUUACAUUGAUAAUAAUUGUUUCACUAAUUAAAUACUUUAAUGUACAGACAUCUUUGUUUACUUUGAAAUUAAAUGUGUUUUCCAAUGAAUAUUGUUCAACAUUUAUUAAAAUCACAUGCAUUCAUUCACAUGGCAGUUACUGUGCCAGGUAGAACAUGGAGGAGGUAUGGGGCACUCAGAGCUCAGCUAAGAGUAACUAGAACAUAAAUAGCAUAUAGGAGCAGUACUCUCAGAAAGGGACAGGGGCAGUGCUGUGGGGGCACUCAGGAGAGGAAGGCAAGAGAGCUGGAGACACCUUAGAGGGCAAAGGGCAUUUGAAAAUUCAGUUCAGAGACCACAGAAAACUUGGAGGCCAGGGCUAAGAAAUGAGAAGCAGGGUGAAGGGAGAGGGGAAGCGCCCAGGUCUCACUGUGUAAAGAAUUAGGGGAGCUAUGCGGUCUAAGUCCGAAAAGAUAUUUUAGAAGUUCAUGAUCCUAGGCAAAAGUAAACAACAACAAAACCGAAACCAAAAUCCACUCUCGCUUGCUUAAAAGAAAAAGGACAGUUUUAAAGGGCUGUCUUGUGGAACCCUGGGGCAAGGACCAAGGGAAUCUCAAGAGGGGCUGGAAGGAGAAAUGGAAAGUUCUUGCUAUCUCUCUCCCUCUCUCAUGGGAGCUCCCCGAGUCUUCUCUCCAGGCAUCUCCUUCCUUCUCCUUCCAGAAUGGCUUCUCUGCUUGAAUGUGCAGCAUCAAGGGAGGCCAGGCCGGAGGAAAAGCGACUGAAAGUCAUUGAGAGAGUGCUCCAGGGAAUGCCACGAUCCACGCUGAUUAUGGGAUCCCCUGGCUCUGCCUGCCUGGUCAGUGCCUACCAACGCUGCAGUUCUCUAAGCAAAGGUCCUCGGCCUCUGUUCUACCAGGCUAGUUCAGGCCAGCAUGAUCACACCUCCGUAACUGCGACGAGGCUUCGCUUGCUGAAGUAGCCAUAGUCUUAUUUCCUCCAUUGAUCGAGAUGACCCAGUAUCCCCAGUUUUACCCAUACGGGUCCCCGUUCUCAGCCAGCGUUCAAGGGCUCUGAAACGAUGCAUCUAAUUUUGGGAGGAAGUGAGCACAGUUGUCACAAAGUUGGAAAGUUUUGAAAUCAAAACUUGAGCCCACGAUGGCUAGCCUGCAAAGCUCCUGCCCCUCAGCCUGAGUCAGGCGCCACAAACAGCCCCCAGGAGAGACGCCACCUUCGCUAGUCGAUCCGCAGCUAGCGCAUGCUUCACGGAGGAACGCCGGUUUAGCCAGAAGGGCGGUCCCGCGCAGGCAGGUGCUUCCAGAGGUGAGAGGCGGCGUGGAAGGAGCCGGGCAGGCCCGGGUCGGGUCCGUGGGACUGGAGGAACUGGGCAAAGGAGGGGCGGGGCUCCAGCAGUGCGGUCAUGCCUGUGGGCGGGACACGGGGGAAGGGCGGCCCCGAAAGGGGGCGGUGCUACGACGGAAAGGGCCAGGAGAUGCUGAGGCGAAGAGGGGCCGGGCGGCUACGCUGAGGGAGCAGAGCUGCGGUGUGAGGGCCUGGGCCGCGCGACCGCGCGAGCGCUCAGUAGCUGAGGGGUAGGUGGGCAGGGCUGAGUCAGUGCUGAAGGGCAAGGAGCAGGAGGGCCAGCGCGGUGGGUGGGACAGGGUGAGGAAGGGAAGGCGUUUCGGGACUGUAAUCUCCACAGAGGUGCAAGCGAAAGGCUGCCUUGAG
RNAcentral lists this long non-coding RNA (2686 nucleotides) under Marmota monax (woodchuck). The record is from RNAcentral. Lineage: Eukaryota; Metazoa; Chordata; Mammalia; Rodentia; Sciuridae.